Molecule: transfer RNA, 70 nt
Filed under: Ara ararauna (blue-and-yellow macaw)
Lineage: Eukaryota; Metazoa; Chordata; Aves; Psittaciformes; Psittacidae
Description: tRNA-Arg
Rfam family: tRNA
About the family: Transfer RNA (tRNA) molecules are approximately 80 nucleotides in length.
Source: RNAcentral
AGAGAGCUAGUCUAAAAGCAAGACAGUUGAUUUCGACUCAACAGACCAUAGUCCACUCUAUGACUCUCUU